ACUCCUACGGGAGGCAGCAGUGGGGAAUCUUGGACAAUGGGCGCAAGCCUGAUCCAGCCAUGCCGCGUGAGUGAAGAAGGCCCUAGGGUCGUAAAACUCUUUCGCCAGGGAUGAUAAUGACAGUACCUGGUAAAGAAACCCCGGCUAACUCCGUGCCAGCAGCCGCGGUAAUACGGAGGGGUUAGCGUUGUUCGGAAUUACUGGGGCGUAAAGCGUACGUAGGCGGAUUAGUCAGUCAGAGGUGAAAUCCCAGGGGCUCAACCCUGGAACUGCCUUUUGAUACUGCUAGUCUUGAGUUCGAGAGAGGUGAGUGGAAUUCCAAGUGUAGAGGUGAAAUUCGUAGAUAUUUGGAGGAACACCAGUGGCGAAGGCGGCUCACUGGCUCGAUACUGACGCUGAGGUACGAAAGUGUGGGGAGCAAACAGGAUUAGAUACCCUGGUAGGAUAGCG
RNAcentral lists this ribosomal RNA (450 nucleotides) under uncultured bacterium. RNAcentral describes it as "bacterial SSU rRNA". It matches the Rfam family "Bacterial small subunit ribosomal RNA", at positions 335 to 799 of the family's 1533-position model. The record is from RNAcentral.